AUGGAUACACAUGCACACAUACAAGCUCAUUUCCUUUAUUAAAGCAUUUAUUUUUCUCAGAUUCCAAGACAGCUUUUAUUGCUUGUGUACAACUGAAUGAGCCAUUGAGUUAAUACUACUGUGUGAAGUUCAGGAAAGACCAGCAAACAUUCUUCUAAUAAGAGGAUAUUCUGGUCCUCUUGAUAAUCAACCCCCCAUUGUAAACUCAUUUUGAGUCACAGUUUUAAAUCUUUGUUCCAGUGGAAAAGAUUUUUAUGGUCAGCCCAAACAAGCAUUAAAUCCUGUUUUUUAGCAAGAGUUGCCUAAAAUAGUACAGAUUCCAAAUCGGAAGAGUGACUCUAGGGAAAAGAGAAAAAGUUGAAACAAUACAAAUCAUGGUUUGGUGGCACAAACCUUCUGUCCCACCCCAAACCAUGAUAGAAAUUUGGCAGAGACAUUAGGCUGGGUUUCCUUGCUGUGAAAUGCUGCAUGUUUUAGAUGGCUGUAUGGAACUGGAUUUAGAUCUUCCCUGUGGGUGGUUGUCCCCCUUUAUUUUAGAGAUUCCAGUAAAUCACUUUGGUGGAGUUUCCACUGGUUUUCUUCUGUGCAGCCUUAUUCCCCUGUAUUCUACAACCUUUCUGUAUUUGGAGGGGAAUAUUUUUCUGGGAAAUGUGCCCAUGGUUUGGAAACGUGGUGUCUUUGGGGGGUUUUGAACUCCCAUUUCCUUGCCCUUCUCCCCUACUACUUAGGCAAGUAGAGCUUCCCAGAGUGGACCCAUAGCUCUUCUACUGCGUUUCUUUUCAGUCACUGGAAUUGCCACGGCAGCAGCAGCUCUUGGGAUUAUGAUUUUGUCACGACAGAGGAUUAAGUCAGGGCAGUCCACAUUGUGGGGAGGGUGCAACUGGAGUGGCAGCAAGAUGGUGGUGGGCUGAGAGGAGUCAGUGCCAAGGUGAGCUGGGAAACCCGCAUGAUUUUAUGGGGAUAUUGAGGUGCCCAUGCUCUCCAAGCUUUGCUGGCAGCAUUACAGCAACGUAGCUUAGAUCUCUUAAAGCACAUCCUGCUCUUCCUGAGCAAUCCGCUGUUGAAAUGUUGCAAGCAUUGUUCCUAUUUCUCUCUGUCCAGGCAUGGAUCUUAGUGCUCACAUAUGCAUCUCUGUACCCCUUACUUGGGUUUGCCUCUGGAGGCCAGGUUUGAUCCCUGUGCAGUUGCUCCUGUGCCUGUAGUGCUGCAAGCACAGGUGAACUGCCUCCCAUGUGACCAUGUCCUUUUGUGGUGAUAUCCUAGCUUGUCUUCAGCUGAGUACUCACUCUCCUCUUGCCGUGUCCUUUGCUGGUGCAGCUGGCAUAUGGCAGCUCUUUGAUAUGCUGACUUUGGAAACUUGCAGUGCAGCUGCCCAGUGUUCAGUGUAAUAUCUCAUUGUGCAGUUUCCCACACCCUGUCCUUGAGUUGAGACUCGUCCCCUUGUAUCUCGAUCCUACCCUCGGUCCUCCAGCAUUCUUCCUGUUUGCUGAUGGCAGAGUGACCAGAGAACUGAGCAUCUACUCACUUUGCUCUCAGUGUGGUCUGCCUUAGAAAUGCUGUAGAGGUAAGUAACCCUCUGAGCUGCAGAGAGGACUCUAACUGGCUGGGGCUAGCUCAGGACACACCUGGUGUACUCUUACUCUGAGCAAAUAAGAACUAUGCUUUCCUUACUUCUUUAUCACAUGGGAACAGCAGCCAGGGUAUAAAGAGGCUUUACACCGCACAGGUUGUGAGCAUGCCCUGCUUUCCAUUUCUUUGUCUCACAUACUUUCUUUGUUCUUGUGGCUGUGACAUUGAAGCAUUUUUCCAAAAUUGAAGGUGAUAGUGAUUUUAGUCUUUACUGUAGAACAGUCCCUGAGCUGAGAAGAACGGUGAUGUUAGCAUAUGGAACUGACGUAUUUAUUAUUGAUGAUACCUUUAAAUGAUUAAACAUUUUUUUCAUUGCAUUAUUUAGGGGAAUUAUGAUAUUCAUCAUUAAUGGAAAGAUGUCUGUCUAGGGAAAUGCUUGAUUCAUACUCAUAAAUACCUUCUCUCCUAAUUAUUUCCUUCCUAUUGGCUUCUCCCAGCUCUUGCUUUUCCUUUUGGAGUAAGUGUUCAUUCCCUAAAUACCCCCUGCUAAAUGCUGAGGUGUUUUCUAGCCAGGUAACCAAGACAGCACUUAAAUAAGAGACAUGGUAAUUCAAGAAAGGAAGUAAUGCUUAGAAAGCCUCAUCACGUUUGAGAACUCUUGCUAGCAAAUAUUAAUCAGAUUAAUGUUUUUUUUAUUUUACUAUCAAAUAUGCUGGAAGCAUGAUCAUUCCUUCCAUUAUGUGUGUUUGUCUCCCCAUGGUAUGGUGUGUUAUUGUAGCAGGGUUUUAUUAAAAAUAGGACAAAAUUAACUGAUAGCUCGGUUUUGGUAGGGUAGGCUUCCCCAGGUGCAUGAAGACAUGGGUCAGGUUCAAUAUGUUGUAGAGAUUCUGUCAGUGACCCGAUGUUACUUCGAUCUUGGGUAUUCUGAUAUCGUGUGAAAAUCUUGAUAACGUGAUCCUCAGCUUCCUUAACAUCUCUGAAAACCUGCACCUCAUUUCUCUUGAUUCUUUGGAGCAAGCAGUUCUUGUCCUUACCCAGGUAUCUGUUGCUCAUCAGAACAGAAAAAUAAGCAUCCUUGCUCUUGCAGUUUUUUUUUUUUUUUUGGCUUUCACUUGUGGAAGUGAAGAUGGAGUCUUUCUGCACCAGGGUCAUGAAUGCUUUUU
This 2732-nucleotide long non-coding RNA is filed under the name Gallus gallus (chicken). Lineage: Eukaryota; Metazoa; Chordata; Aves; Galliformes; Phasianidae. The record is from RNAcentral.